RNAcentral lists this ribosomal RNA (323 nucleotides) under Escherichia coli. RNAcentral's name for it is "bacterial SSU rRNA". It matches the Rfam family "Bacterial small subunit ribosomal RNA", at positions 1 to 317 of the family's 1533-position model. Lineage: Bacteria; Pseudomonadati; Pseudomonadota; Gammaproteobacteria; Enterobacterales; Enterobacteriaceae. The record is from RNAcentral.
UUAAAUUGAAGAGUUUGAUCAUGGCUCAGAUUGAACGCUGGCGGCAGGCCUAACACAUGCAAGUCGAACGGUAACAGGAAGCAGCUUGCUGCUUCGCUGACGAGUGGCGGACGGGUGAGUAAUGUCUGGGAAACUGCCUGAUGGAGGGGGAUAACUACUGGAAACGGUAGCUAAUACCGCAUAACGUCGCAAGACCAAAGGGGGGGGACCUUCGGGCCUCUUGCCAUCGGAUGUGCCCAGAUGGGAUUAGCUUGUUGGUGGGGUAACGGCUCACCAAGGCGACGAUCCCUAGCUGGUCUGAGAGGAUGACCAGCCACACUGGA